ACUCAAAGGAAUAGACGGGGGCCCGCACAAGCAGCGGAGCGUGUGGUUUAAUUCGACGCAACGCGCAGAACCUCACCCAGAUUUGACAUGCAGCUGCAAGCUUCUGAAAGGAAGUCGCCUUCGAGGGUGCUGCACCGGUGCUGCAUGGCUGUCGUCAGCUCGUGUUGUGAGAUGUUGGGUUAAGUCCCGCAACGAGCGCAACCCCCGCGGCUAGUUACUCGUGUCUAGCCGGACUGCCCUUCGGGGAGGAAGGUGGGGAUGACGUCAAGUCCGCAUGGCCCUUACGUCUGGGGCGACACACACGCUACAAUGGCGCCGACAGAGCGAAGCGACUGAGCAAUCAGAAGCGAACCGCAUAAACGGCGUCUCAGUGCAGAUCGGGGGCUGCAACUCGCCCCCGUGAAGGCGGAGUUGCUAGUAACCGCGUAUCAGCCAUGGCGCGGUGAAUGCGUACCCGGGCCUUGUACACACCGCCCGU
RNAcentral lists this ribosomal RNA (478 nucleotides) under uncultured bacterium. Its description in RNAcentral is "partial 16S ribosomal RNA". It matches the Rfam family "Bacterial small subunit ribosomal RNA", at positions 899 to 1397 of the family's 1533-position model. The record is from RNAcentral.